Non-coding RNA from Oncorhynchus mykiss (rainbow trout), 1596 nucleotides. Lineage: Eukaryota; Metazoa; Chordata; Actinopteri; Salmoniformes; Salmonidae. The record is from RefSeq and is a predicted model, not a curated record.
GGGAAGCUGAGAUGUCAAAUAUGCUUUUUAGGUUUCCUACUGCCAAGUUUACACCUUCACUAUUACAGUGAAACAUUAUGUCCAGGAAUGUGUCUAAAUGGAUUGAAUUUGUUAUUGCCUAAUUGUUUUUUGGUAGGUUUCCACACUACUUUCCUUCCAUUUAUAGUAUUUCUUAAUAUUAUUCAUUUCCUUUGGCUUUGAUGCCUCAUGAUUGAGUAUUGCUCUGUUCAAGUAGACUGUGAUUUAUCUGUGAUCUGAUUGGGGUGUCAGUGGGCUGACUGUGAACUCUCUGAGAGACUCUGGGAUGAGGUCAUGGAUAAAGUAGUCUAUAGUACUACUGCCAGGAGAUGAGCUAUAGAUGUAUCUACCGUAGGAGUCCCCUCGAAGCCUACCAUUGACUAUGUACAUACCGAACGUGCGACAGAGCUGCAGGAGCUGUGACCCGUUAGGUUGGUAAUGUUGCAUUUGUUGUGUUUAGGAGAGCAUAUGGGGGAGGGAAUGCUGCCAUCUCUCUCUCUCUCUCCCUCACUCCCUUCUGCUAUCCCCCCAGUCCCAGGAUACAGUAAGAUUCAUUGGCCAAAUACCUAAAGCUGAUUAUUUUACCAUUAUCCUCAUGUGGGUUCAUUCAUCAUGUAUGUCUUGCAAAUGUGAGAUAUAGUAUGUGACCAAACUGAAACACACCUUCUGAUGUUGACUUGUUAACAGGAGGGAGGAGGGGAAAGGUCUCUGGAAAAGCUAGCGCUACAGUGAGGGAAAGAAGACAUCUUGAGGAAGGAGAAGAGCAGCUUUGAUGCCCCUAAAGCACAGAUGGGGUCCGCAGUCCGUCGCUGAGCUUGGGUAUUCCUCCACUGCCUCAUUAGGACUGAUUUACACCGCAGCAAGGCGAAGCAAUAUGAGGUGGGAAGAGAGUGGAAGACAGACAGAGAGAGAGAUGGAGAUGGAGAAAAACAUUAGUGUAAAUGUACUUAGACUUAUUUCAACAACUCUUUUCUCCCAAAUUGUUAUGCAUGUCCCUCACACAACCCAACCCAGCCACACAGGAGGGUGAUUUUUUUACUAAGGAGGAGAAGGAGGCCAUUUCUGAGUGAAGCGCAUGAUUGCAAAAAGCAACCUUUGCUUCUUGCUUUUUUUUAACCCCUUUUUCUCCCCAAAUUCAUGGUAUCCAAUUGGUAGUUACAGUCUUGUCUCAACACUGCAACUCCCAUAUGGACUCGGGAAACACAACCCAACCAAGCCGCACUGCUUUUUGACACAAUGUCCACUUAACCUGGAAGCCAGACACACUAUUGCGUCAGAGGAAGCACCAUACUACUGGCAACCAUGUCAGCGUGCACUGCGCCAGGCCCACCACAGGACUCACUAGUGCACGGUGGGACAAGAACAUCCCUACCGGCCAAACCCUCUCCUAACCUGGACAACGCUGGGCCAAUUGUGCACUGCCCCAUGGGUCUCCCGGUCACUGCCGGCUGCGACAGAACCUGGACUCGAACCCAGAGUGGCACAGCUAGUACUGAGAUGCGGUGCCUUAGACCACCGCGCCACUCAGGAGGCCCAACCUACGCUUCUUCUGACGGGGAAUUGUCAAAGAGGUGAACA